This 492-nucleotide ribosomal RNA is filed under the name uncultured bacterium. RNAcentral describes it as "partial 16S ribosomal RNA". It matches the Rfam family "Bacterial small subunit ribosomal RNA", at positions 30 to 507 of the family's 1533-position model. The record is from RNAcentral.
AGUGAACGCUGGCGGUAGGCCUAACACAUGCAAGUCGAACGGCAGCACAGUAAGAGCUUGCUCUUACGGGUGGCGAGUGGCGGACGGGUGAGGAAUACAUCGGAAUCUACUUUUUCGUGGGGGAUAACGUAGGGAAACUUACGCUAAUACCGCAUACGACCUACGGGUGAAAGCAGGGGAUCUUCGGACCUUGCGCGAUUGAAUGAGCCGAUGUCGGAUUAGCUAGUUGGCGGGGUAAAGGCCCACCAAGGCGACGAUCCGUAGCUGGUCUGAGAGGAUGAUCCGCCAAACUGGGACUGGAGCACGGUCCAGGCCCCUUAGGGGGGGAAGAGGGGGGGAUUAUUGACAAAGGGGGGAAACCUUGACCAAGCAUACCGGGUGGGGUGAAGAAGCCUUCGGGGUGUAAAACCCUUUUGGUGGGGAAAGAAAGGAGGAAGUUAAUUCCCCGGUGGUCUUGGGGUAACCAAAAGAUAAGGACCGGGUAACUUCGUG